GAUUAUGGCUCAGAUUGAACGCUGGCGGCGUGCUUAACACAUGCAAGUCGCGCGUGAAAGGGCUUCGGCCCAAGUAAGCGGCGCACGGGUGAGUAACGCGUGGAUGAUCUACCCAUGAGUUGGGAAUAACGGCUGGAAACGGUCGCUAAUACCGAAUACGCUCCGAUUUCAACUUCGGGGGAAAGGUGGCCUCUGCUUGCAAGCUACUGCUCAUGGAUGAGUCCGCGUCCCAUUAGCUAGUUGGUGGGGUAACGGCCCACCAAGGCGACGAUGGGUAGCCGGUCUGAGAGGAUGACCGGCCACACUGGGACUGGAACACGGCCCAGACUCCUACGGGAGGCAGCAGUGGGGAAUAUUGCGCAAUGGGCGAAAGCCUGACGCAGCGACGCCGCGUGAAGGGAUGAAGGUCCUCGGAUCGUAAACCUCUGUCAGGAGGGAAGAACCGCCACGGUGCUAAUCAGCCGUGGUCUGACGGUACCUCCAAAGGAAGCACCGGCUAACUCCGUGCCAGCAGCCGC
This 518-nucleotide ribosomal RNA is filed under the name uncultured bacterium. RNAcentral describes it as "bacterial SSU rRNA". It matches the Rfam family "Bacterial small subunit ribosomal RNA", at positions 15 to 518 of the family's 1533-position model. The record is from RNAcentral.